Capsicum annuum is the source of this 796-nucleotide long non-coding RNA. RefSeq lists it as uncharacterized. NCBI's taxonomy places the organism in Eukaryota, Viridiplantae, Streptophyta, Magnoliopsida, Solanales, Solanaceae. The transcript has 2 exons. The record is from RefSeq and is a predicted model, not a curated record.
AUAGUCAUGCUACAUUACGAAAUAAUAGUCUAUUUUUCUUGAAUCGGUAUAAGGUUAGUGCUAGUGGCAAAGGGCUAGAGUUGCUGCCUUGAUGAAGGGAGAUCGAUUGUAACUGUACACAUCUCAUUUUUUUAACUUGAAGUAGAGGGUCUAUCGAAAACAACUACUCUAUCUUUAAGGUUAAGUCUGCAUACACCUCCUCCACAGACCAUAUUUUGUGGGAUUCCACUGAAAAUAUGGCUUGUGGAGGAGGUGUAUAAUUGUGGAGUAUCUUUGUUCAAUUGGAUGGAAUUAGCAUAAUUUGGUUAAUAUCUUCGUCUCAUCAAGAUGAAGCAACACUUGAGGGUCUUUGAAACGUUCAUUUUGUGGAGAGAUGAAUGGAGUGAUGGUGUCUGAUAUUUGUCUUUCCCGUCCAUGAUUGGCAUCACCACUCCUCUCUUGACUGGACUAACAUAGCCCAACUGAAACUGUGAACCUUAUGCUAUAAAGAUCAUCAAUCCUUUUGACCAACACUGAUCUCUCGGUAGCGUUAACACUCAAUUCUGCAUCUUCCUCAACCGGGACAUCAACUGUCUCACUCACUGUUCCACUGUGACUGUACAGUAAGAGCAUCAACAUUUUCAUCCCAUUAUGACACUUCCUUUGGUCGUACAAUUAAUGUAUGGAUGUCAAACAUGUCUGACAAUGCUUGAACCCAUGUAAAAUCGCACUUUCUUUCUUGUAGUUGUGUACCAAUAAACUGUGCAUUAAUAUGGAGGCUGUCAUCUGAGACAUUAGCAAAUUUAGUUUUCUUUGC